CCUACGGGAGGCAGCAGUGAGGAAUAUUGGUCAAUGGGCGUAAGCCUGAACCAGCCAAGUCGCGUGAGGGAUGAAGGUUCUAUGGAUCGUAAACCUCUUUUAUAAGGGAAUAAAGUGCGGGACGUGUCCCGUUUUGUAUGUACCUUAUGAAUAAGGAUCGGCUAACUCCGUGCCAGCAGCCGCGGUAAUACGGAGGAUCCGAGCUUUAUCCGGAUUUAGUGGGUUUACAGGGUGCGUAGGCGCCCUUUUAAGUCGGCGGUGAAAGUCUGUGGCUCAACCAUAGAAUUGCCGUUGAAACUGGGAGGCUUCAGUAUGUUUGAGCCAGGCGUAUUGCGUGUUGUAGCGGUGAAAUGCU
This 355-nucleotide ribosomal RNA is filed under the name uncultured bacterium. Its description in RNAcentral is "partial 16S ribosomal RNA". It matches the Rfam family "Bacterial small subunit ribosomal RNA", at positions 338 to 690 of the family's 1533-position model. The record is from RNAcentral.